AUGUCUUUCUCGCAGAACAACCUCUUCAGAAAUAAGCCCUCCAGAGGGACUUUCCCCAUGACAUUACUGAAGAUGUACUUCCGUGCCCACACAGGCAGCCUUAUAUCACAACCCAGCAAUGAUCACCAGCAGCAGCAGCACCGCCCAGAGGCUGCUGAAGUGCAGAAGGAGUUGGGAACUGGACUUUUUUUUAUUACCCGCUUAAGGGCAAAGAUCACAGACUACAUGUGUUCCAAAGCCAAAAAUAUAAAGGAUUUCAAACUAUGGCUUGCAUUACUUCAAAAAAAAAAAGAAGAAAAUAAAAUUUCUUUGUGGCAUCAUGACCAAUCAUGGGCUAGCAAAUGUCACAACUCAGCCAAGCCUUAUGUCCAAAACUAUUGUCACCAGUGUAUGUGGAGGAGCUCUGGGCUAUGUUACAUGCACAGCCACACAGUGACCUUCCCACUUGGAAAAAGCUCUGGGUACACAGAAUCACAGAAUGGUUGAAGCUGGAAGGGACCUUUGGAGAUCGUCUGGUCCAACACCCCUGCCAAGCAGUGUUGCCAAGAGCACACUGUGCAGGAUGGCAUCCAGGAUUGUUUUCAGUAUCUCCAGAGAAGGAGACUCCACAGCCUCUCUGGGCAACCUGUCCUAGUGCUCUGUCACCCUCACAGUAAAGUGCCCCCUCAUAUUCACAGGGAAAUUCCUGUGUUUACACACCUGGAUUAUUUCCCUCUGUGCCCCAUCCUUCUAAACUACACACAUAAGUUUGUGUCUGCAGUUAACAGGUGAAGACAAAUCUGUGUAUGAUCAAUUUUGCCAAGGAUCUGGAACCUAUGUUAUAAAAACAUACCUCGAGUGUAUUCAGUGUUACUGAGAUUAUCAACCCUGCGUCAGUUUUUAGCUCCAAACUAAUUUUAAUGGCUGAACUGUAAGCACUCGAACAACAGGGUAAUGGAAAUACUCACAGGCCCUUAUCUGCAGCAGCUCUGCUGGCUGCUGUUAUGAUGCUGUUGCUCACUUCUAACAUCUUUUUUUUUCCCCAGAAAAAUCUUUGCCUGUCACCUAGUUAUCUGCAGGACGAGCAGAACAGGGAUUGAGAAAUGUGCAGCAAAAUUGUUUCAGAUCCAUGGAGGCUCCACUAAUGAAUCAUCAAAGCUUUCCCUGCCAGGGAACACAUUUCUAAACCUAAUCACAGCCUGAGCACUCCUUCUCCUCUGUCCUCAUCAGAGUGUCAAAUCAAGAAGAGGAGUCCACUGACUGCCCCCUCCCAGCCCUCAGAUCACAUCCCUGCACCACAGAGCGGUUGGGAUAGCGCAAGGUGACCCUGGCAGGGUGGGACAUGGACUUAGCACCAUCCCCAGGGAAAGAACAAGCAUGGGGAUUCGAGGUCCUGCCUGCCCCCGGCACCACACCGCUUACAGCAGGCAAACCACUCCUGCAAAUCAUGAUGAGAUCAGCACAGGGCUGGCCCUAAGACCUUGUGGACCUAUCAGUUUAACAAAAUCAGCACCCCUUUGGCUUUUGAUUUAUAUACCACGUAUGUCUGACUAGAGUGCUUGUGAGUAGCACUAAUUGGAAAUGCCACAGGAAUGAGCAAUGCCCUCUGUGUUAAAACACAGAGCUCACACAAACAAUUAGCGUUCAAUACAAAAUCAAGGAAUUGCUUCAUCGGGCUAAGGAUGCAUGCAACUGGCAUGAUGGACCAAUAAACAACAGCUCCCUUCAUCUGCUCCA
This 1716-nucleotide long non-coding RNA is filed under the name Anas platyrhynchos platyrhynchos (common mallard). RNAcentral describes it as "lncRNA (ENSAPLG00000016720.1)". Lineage: Eukaryota; Metazoa; Chordata; Aves; Anseriformes; Anatidae. The record is from RNAcentral.